UGGGGCUAUAGCUCAGUGGUAGAGCGCUUGCCUAGCAAGCAUGAGGCCCUGAGUUCAAUCCUCAGCACCACAU
Molecule: non-coding RNA, 73 nt
Organism: Ictidomys tridecemlineatus (thirteen-lined ground squirrel)
Lineage: Eukaryota; Metazoa; Chordata; Mammalia; Rodentia; Sciuridae
Source: the annotation of a RefSeq genome assembly